This 1447-nucleotide ribosomal RNA is filed under the name Hiatella arctica. RNAcentral's name for it is "large subunit ribosomal RNA". The stretch from base 217 to 1447 matches the Rfam family "Bacterial large subunit ribosomal RNA". Lineage: Eukaryota; Metazoa; Mollusca; Bivalvia; Adapedonta; Hiatellidae. The record is from RNAcentral.
UUGUUAAAAAAAUUAGUUUUAGGAUUCAGUAUUAUUUAAAAACUCCGAAAUGCAGGACUCUCAUUAAAAUUAAAGAUUUCUUAGCGGGAGGUUUUUUUUGAUUUCUCCGUGGAAAGUUCGUAUUUGGUUAGUUAGUCAAAAUUGUUAACAAUUUUGCAGCCGCUUAAGGGGUUAAUCUCUUUAGGGGAGUUUACAGUGGGGAGGUUCUUUAAAUAGUAGGUUUUGGAUCCGCUGUCAAUGAUCCUAAAAGAUAGAGAAAAAAUUUAAAAAGGAAAAGUUAAAAUUAAAACAGAAAAAUUAAAACUUUGUACUUUUUGUAUCGUGGUUUAUAGAGUUGAUAGAGAAAGCUUUUUUCCCGAAAAUUUUAGAGCUAUUAAAAUUAAAGUUUGAUUCGUGAAUUAAUUAAAGUAAGUUUUUAAUGGAGGUGAUAUGUUAGUCGAAAAAAUUGAUAGCUGGUUAAUGGGAAAAUGCAUAUAAGUGCAGCUCUUGCAGAAUAAAAAAAUAGAUGGAUUUUUUAAAGUUUGUAAGAAGUGACACUUUCGGGGAUAAGCUCGGAAGGAUAGAAGAUUAAAAAAGAUGGGUAGAUUUGAAAGUGGUUUCCCUGAUAGUUUGUUAUAAAUAGGGUAAUUUAAAGUAAAUUAGGUAGUAACCCAUUCUUUACUACAAUUACUAGUGGUGAUUAGUAUAGAAUAAGUAGAAAAUUUUUAUCAAUAAAUAUUAUUUUUAGUUGUUUUGUGAUGGAAAGAUUUAAAAAAAAGGAACUCGGCAAAACCGCCCUCCGCCUGUUUAUUAAAAACAUCUCUUUUAGUUAAAUUUGAAUUAAAAGUAGGCCCUGCCCGGUGCAAAGCAGUAAACGGCGGUAAAUUCUUUAAAGUAGCAUAAUAGAUCGGCUUUUAAUUGAAGUCUAGGAAGAAGGGGUUGACGUGGGGGCAACUUUCUAUUUUUUAAUAGUUGAAAUUUUCUUUUAAGUGAAAAGACUUAAAUUCUCGUAAAAGACGAGAAGACCCCGACGAGCUUAACUAUACUUUUAAAGUUUUAAAAUUAGCUUAGAUUUUAUUUUUAAUUGGGGCAAUUGGGGAGUAGAACUAACCUCCUUUUUUAUGGCAGAGAUCCUUCAUGGGAAGAAAGAAGGAAAAAGCUACCACGGGGAUAACAGCGUGAUUUUCACUUAAAGGCCUUAUCAAAGUGAAUGUUGACGACCUCGAUGUUGGAUUAAGGUAUCUCUUCGGCGCAGAAGCUGUUGAAGUAAGUCUGUUCGACUUUUAAAACCUUACAUGAUCUGAGUUUAGACCGGCGUGAGCUAGGUCGGAUUCUAUCUUUACUAUAGGGGGUUUUAUGUACGAAAGGACCAAGAUCCUUAAAGUUUAUUGGUUUUAGUUGUUAUUAAGCUCACCCUAAGGGACAACAAGCUGUAAACUAUGAAGUUUUUCAAAGUUUUAAGUAAACA